GUAUCACCUCAAUCCGUAGAGCAUGAGACUCGGAAUCUCAGGGCUGUGGGUUCGAGUCCCAUGUUGGGCA
Non-coding RNA from Podarcis lilfordi (Lilford's wall lizard), 70 nucleotides. The record is from the annotation of a GenBank genome assembly. Lineage: Eukaryota; Metazoa; Chordata; Lepidosauria; Squamata; Lacertidae.